CCCGAAGUGUAGCAAUUGGUCUUUUUGGGGGCUUAAAAUAAAUUUUUUUGCUCUCACUGGUCCUUGGUGUGUUCUUUCUUUCUUGACAGGUGUUAUUUGGGAGUAGAGCUUCUCAAGUCUGGCAGUGAAGGAAGUGAAACCACCCUCAAAACCCUUUAGCAUCACACAGAUGCUAUUAUGUGCUGCUCUUUAAAGGCAUUGCCAGUUUUCACCUUUGCUAACCAGGCUGGUCUUGACAUGCUUGAGACAACCUUGGUCGCCCUUCAAGACAUUACUUUGGAGAAGAUAUUUGAUGA
Molecule: non-coding RNA, 296 nt
Organism: Camellia sinensis
Lineage: Eukaryota; Viridiplantae; Streptophyta; Magnoliopsida; Ericales; Theaceae
Source: RefSeq, a predicted model, not a curated record